This 75-nucleotide transfer RNA is filed under the name bacterium. Its description in RNAcentral is "tRNA-Thr". It matches the Rfam family "tRNA". Rfam says of the family: Transfer RNA (tRNA) molecules are approximately 80 nucleotides in length. RNAcentral also lists the same sequence under 5 other names. The record is from RNAcentral.
GCCACCAUAGCUCAGGGGUAGAGCAGGGGUUUUGUAAACCUCUGGUCGGGGGUUCAAAUCCCUCUGGUGGCUCCA